This 458-nucleotide ribosomal RNA is filed under the name Copelatus sp. BI-2011. RNAcentral describes it as "partial 16S ribosomal RNA". It matches the Rfam family "Bacterial large subunit ribosomal RNA", at positions 1806 to 2534 of the family's 2925-position model. Lineage: Eukaryota; Metazoa; Arthropoda; Insecta; Coleoptera; Dytiscidae. The record is from RNAcentral.
AACAAAAACAUGUCCUUUUGGUAUUUAUAUAAGGUCUGACCUGCCCACUGAUUAAUUAAAUGGCCGCAGUAUUUUGACUGUGCAAAGGUAGCAUAAUCAUUAGUUUUUUAAUUAAAAGCUUGUAUGAAGGGUUGGACGAGGUAAAAUCUGUCUCUAUUUAAUUUAUUUUAGAAUUUAAUUUUUAAGUUAAAAAGCUUAAAUUAUUGUAAAAGACGAGAAGACCCUAUAGAUCUUUAUAUUUUUAUAAAUAAUUUUAAUUAGGAAUAUUUAAUUUUUUAUUUAUUUUAAUAUUUUAUUGGGGUAAUAAGAAGAUUGAAAAAAUUCUUUUUAAAAUUUAAUACUAAUUAGUAAUUAUGUGAUCCAAUAUUUUUGAUUAUAAGAUUAAGUUACCUUAGGGAUAACAGCGUAAUUUUUUUUGAGAGUUCAUAUCGAUAAAAAAGUUUGCGACCUCGAUGUUG